UUCGGAUUGCAGUCUGCAACUCGAGUGCAUGAAGCUGGAAUCGCUAGUAAUCGCGGAUCAGAAUGCCGCGGUGAAUACGUUCCCGGGUCUUGUACACACCGCCCGUCACACCAUGGGAGCCGACAACGCCCGAAGUCAGUGACCUAACCGAGAGGGAGGAGCUGCCGAAGGCGGGGUUGGUAACUGGGGUGAAGUCGUAACAAGGUACC
RNAcentral lists this ribosomal RNA (209 nucleotides) under uncultured bacterium. Its description in RNAcentral is "partial 16S ribosomal RNA". It matches the Rfam family "Bacterial small subunit ribosomal RNA", at positions 1292 to 1500 of the family's 1533-position model. The record is from RNAcentral.